RNAcentral lists this ribosomal RNA (234 nucleotides) under uncultured bacterium. RNAcentral describes it as "partial 16S ribosomal RNA". It matches the Rfam family "Bacterial small subunit ribosomal RNA", at positions 524 to 755 of the family's 1533-position model. The record is from RNAcentral.
UACGUAGGCAGCAAGCGUUGUUCGGAGUUCUGGGCGUAAAGGGUGCGUAGGCGGUCCUGUAAGUAUGGUGUGAAAUCUCCCGGCUUAACUGGGAGGGUGCGCUAUAGACUGCGGGACUAGAGGGUGGGAGAGGAAAGUGGAAUUCCUGGUGUAGCGGUGAAAUGCGUAGAUAUCAGGAGGAACACCGGUGGUGUAAACGGCUUUCUUGGGACCAUUUCUGACGCUUGAGGCACG